Molecule: ribosomal RNA, 2006 nt
Filed under: gut metagenome
Description: bacterial LSU rRNA
Rfam family: Bacterial large subunit ribosomal RNA
Source: RNAcentral
GAAAGUAAGCAAGGGCAGACGGUGGAUGCCUUGGCUCUCGGAGGCGACGAAGGACGUGAUAAGCUGCGAAAAGCCCGGGGGAGGCGCAAAUAGCCGUUGAUCCCGGGAUAUCCGAAUGGGGCAACCCGGCAGGCUGAAGGCCUGUCAUCCCGAAAGGGAGGCGAACGUGGGGAACUGAAACAUCUAAGUACCCAUAGGAGGAGAAAAUAAACAAUGAUUCCGUAAGUAGUGGCGAGCGAACACGGAAGAGCCCAAACCCAUGUCGUCUAGGCGACACGGGGGUUGUAGGACCACGACGUGGCAAGAAGGAAGGGAAAUGGAACGCCUUGGAAAAGUCGGCCAUAGACGGUGAAAGCCCGGUACAUGACUCCCUUACGAAGCCUAGUGGUAUCCUGAGUAGCGCGGGGCACGAGAAAUCUUGCGUGAAGCAGCGGGGCCCAUCCCGUAAGGCUAAAUACUCCCGAGAGACCGAUAGCGAACCAGUACCGUGAGGGAAAGGUGAAAAGAACCCCGAGCAGGGGAGUGAAAUAGACCCUGAACCCGUCUGCCUACAAGCGGUCGGAGCGUCGUAAUGACGUGACGGCGUGCCUUUUGCAUAAUGAACCUACGAGUUACCUUCCCCGGCAAGGUUAAGUACCUAAGGUACGGAGCCGAAGCGAAAGCGAGUCUGAACAGGGCGCCAAGUCGGGGGGGGUAGACGCGAAACCGAGUGAUCUACCCUUGGCCAGGUUGAAGGUUGGGUAACACCAACUGGAGGACCGGAUGGGUAAGCGUUGAAAAGCUUUCCAAUGAGCUGAGGGUAGGGGUGAAAGGCUAAUCAAACUCGGAGAUAGCUCGUACUCCCCGAAAUGCAUUUAGGUGCAGCCUCUUUAUAGUAUAUCGUGAGGUAGAGCGACUGAUUGGAUGCGAGGGCUUCACCGCCUAUCAAGUCCAGAUAAACUCCGAAUGCGCGAUAUAUAUUUACAGGGAGUGAGGGCGCGGGUGCUAAGGUCCGUGUCCGAGAGGAGAAGAAUCCAGACCACCGGCUAAGGCCCCCAAAUGAUCGUUAAGUUGAACUAACGAGGUCGGAUCGCAGAGACAGCUAGGAUGUUGGCUUGGAAGCAGCCAUUCAUUUAAAGAGUGCGUAACAGCUCACUAGUCGAGCGAUCUGGCGUGGAUAAUAAUCGGGCAUAAACGAUCUGCCGAAGCCGUGGAUGUCGCAAGACAUGGUAGGGGAGCAUUCCAUGCCGCGUCGAAGAUGAGGGAUGACCCUUGUUGGAGCGCAUGGAAAAGCAAAUGUAGGUAUGAGUAACGAUAAGGGGGGCGAGAAACCCCCCCGCCGAAAGACCAAGGUUUCCUGAUCAACGCUAAUCGGAUCAGGGUGAGUCGGGACCUAAGGCAAAGCCGAACGGCGCCGCCGAUGGAAGAAUGGGUUAAUAUUCCCAUACUGCCUCAUGGAGUGACGUGGAGACGGAGAAGUGACAGUCCUGCCGGCUGACGGAAUAGCCGGUUGAAGGGUGUAGAUAUUGAUUCCCGUAGGCAAAUCCGCGGGGAGAGUCGAACCUGAGAGUAUACGGAGCGCUUGCGCAACGUAAUAUGGACGUAACCAUGCUCCCGAGAAAAUCCGCUAAACUUAUCCAUGCGGCACCCGUACCGUAAACGGACACACGUGGUCGGGUUGAGAAUACUGAGGCGCUCGAGUGAUUCACGGUUAAGGAACUAGGCAAAUUGACCCUGUAACUUCGGGAUAAAGGGUCCUCGUCGUAAGGCGAGGCGCAGAGAAUAGGUCCAGGCAACUGUUUAACAAAAACACAUGGCUGUGCUAAAUGGAAACAUGAUGUAUACAGCCUGACACCUGCCCGGUGCUGGAAGGUUAAGAGGAGAUGUCAUCGCAAGAGAAGCGUUGAAUUGAAGCCCCAGUAAACGGCGGCCGUAACUAUAACGGUCCUAAGGUAGCGAAAUUCCUUGUCGGGUAAGUUCCGACCUGCACGAAUGGUGUAAUGAUCUGGACACUGUCUCAACCGUGA